Molecule: ribosomal RNA, 254 nt
Filed under: uncultured bacterium
Lineage: Bacteria
Description: partial 16S ribosomal RNA
Rfam family: Bacterial small subunit ribosomal RNA
Source: RNAcentral
UACGAAGGGUGCAAGCGUUACUCGGAAUUACUGGGCGUAAAGCGUGCGUAGGUGGUUUGUUAAGUCUGUUGUGAAAGCCCCGGGCUCAACCUGGGAAUGGCAAUGGAUACUGGCAAGCUAGAGUGCGGUAGAGAGUAGUGGAAUUCCCGGUGUAGCGGUGAAAUGCGUAGAGAUCGGAAAGAACACCAACGGCGAAAGCACUCUGCUGGGCCGACACUGACACUGAGAGACGAAAGCUAGGGGGAGCGAAUGGG